RNAcentral lists this ribosomal RNA (504 nucleotides) under uncultured Gemmatimonadota bacterium. RNAcentral describes it as "bacterial SSU rRNA". It matches the Rfam family "Bacterial small subunit ribosomal RNA", at positions 9 to 524 of the family's 1533-position model. Lineage: Bacteria; Pseudomonadati; Gemmatimonadota. The record is from RNAcentral.
GAGUUUGAUCUUGGCUCAGGACGAACGCUGGCGGCGUGCUUAACACAUGCAAGUCACGGGGGGUAGCAAUACCAACCGGCGAACGGGUGCGUAACACGUGAGCAACCUACCGAUUUGAGGGGGAUAGCUGCCCUAACGGGCAGGUAAUACCGCAUACGCUUUUCUGGUCACCUGACCGGGAAAGGAAACCUCCGGGGCAGAUCGAGGGGCUCGCGGCCUAUCAGCUAGUUGGCGAGGUAACGGCUCACCAAGGCGACGACGGGUAGCUGGUCUGAGAGGAUGGCCAGCCACAUUGGGACUGAGAAACGGCCCAGACUCCUACGGGAGGCAGCAGUGGGGAAUCUUGCGCAAUGGGCGAAAGCCUGACGCAGCGACGCCGCGUGGGGGAUGAAGGUUUUCGGAUCGUAAACCCCUGUUGCCCGGGACGAACUUCUCCUUUUCGAGGAGAUUGACGGUACCGGGUGAGGAAGCACCGGCUAACUCUGUGCCAGCCGCCGCCGUAAG